UUUCCGGUUGAUCCUGCCGGCGGCCACCGCUAUUGGAAUACGAUUAAGACAUGCGAGUCGAGAGACGUAAGGUCUCGGCGGACCGCUCAGUAACACGUGGAUAACAUGCCCUAAGGUGGGGGAUAAUCUCGGGAAACUGAGGGUAAUACCCCAUAGGUCUAUUUUGCUGGAAUGCUAAUAGGCCGAAAACUCCGGUGCCUUAGGAUUGGUCUGCGGUCUAUCAGGCUGUAGUGGGUGUAAUGGACCCACUAGCCCGUGACGGAUAUGGGCCUUGAGAGAGGGAGCCCAGAGAUGGACUCUGAGACAUGAGUCCAGGCCCUACGGGGCGCAGCAGUCGCGAAAACUUCGCAAUGGGGGCAACCCCGACGAGGGAAUUCCAAGUGCUAGCACUUUGUGUUAGCUGUUCUUCUGUCUAAAAAACAGGAGGAGUAAGGGGCGGGUAAGACGGGUGCCAGCCGCCGCGGUAAUACCCGCGCCCCAAGUGGUGGUCGAUAUUAUUGAGCCUAAAACGUCCGUAGCCGGUCUUCUAAAUCCUUGGGUAAAUCGGGCAGCUUAACUGUCCGAAGUCCGGGGAGACUGGGAGACUUGGGACCGGGAGAGGUCAGAGGUACUUCUGGGGUAGGGGUAAAAUCCUGUAAUCCUGGAAGGACCACCGGUGGCGAAGGCGUCUGACUAGAACGGAUCCGACGGUGAGGGACGAAGCCCUGGGGCGCAAACGGGAUUAGAUACCCCGGUAGUCCAGGGUGUAAACGCUGCGGGCUUGGUGUUGGGGGUCCUUAGUGGGCGCCCAGUGCCGGAGAGAAGUUGUUAAGCCUGCUGCUUGGGGAGUAUGUCCGCAAGGAUGAAACUUAAAGGAAUUGGCGGGGGAGCACCGCAACGGGAGGAGCGUGCGGUUCAAUUGGAUUCAACGCCGGA
RNAcentral lists this ribosomal RNA (915 nucleotides) under uncultured archaeon. RNAcentral's name for it is "bacterial SSU rRNA". It matches the Rfam family "Archaeal small subunit ribosomal RNA", at positions 1 to 922 of the family's 1478-position model. The record is from RNAcentral.